Molecule: long non-coding RNA, 641 nt
Filed under: Ornithorhynchus anatinus (platypus)
Lineage: Eukaryota; Metazoa; Chordata; Mammalia; Monotremata; Ornithorhynchidae
Description: lncRNA (ENSOANG00000043149.1)
Source: RNAcentral
GACCUCCUUCCCUCCCCUGCUUCCAUCCCGUUUCACCCCUCUGCUCUCUUCAAACAAUCCUCUUUGCAAAGUGUUAACCCCAAUAAGGAGUCAGAGUUGAGCAAACAGUGAGCUGUUGACAAAAAAAGCACUCCCUUCCCUUCACUCUCCCCGUACCAUAACGACAACAACAACAGAUCCUACCAGGUGGAGAAGGGAAUUUGUGUGGCUGCUCCCGUUAAAAGGUGGUCCGUGCACCGCUGCUUGAAUUUCCCAGGAAAAAGAGAAGGAAUCGGGAGAAAUGGAAUCCCAAAGGAUCCAGUCUCUCCAAUAAUGACAAAUGAUUUUGUUUGGGACAGCGAUUCUGAGAAAGACUAGAUUUCUACGUCUACUACAUUAAUCGAGGACUCAAAUGAUCCGUAGCCCCAUUCACUGAAACAAAGCUAUAGAGCCUGAAAAACCGCUGUGGUCCCGGAAGCAGUAAUGUCUGAAUGGAGGUGAAAAGGUCAGACGAGGGCAGGAUCCAAAGUGAUUUUAAGUAGUUCAGCUAAGUACUAAGGGCUAAUGGGAAACCAUUUUAAUUUACUGUAGUCAUCCCCAGUGAAUAAAGAAGACAGUAUUUCUUUAGAGCAACUUGAUUAUGAAGCAGUAAACCCCUUUUG